Pan troglodytes (chimpanzee) is the source of this 2721-nucleotide long non-coding RNA. RefSeq lists it as uncharacterized. The transcript is spliced from 4 exons. NCBI's taxonomy places the organism in Eukaryota, Metazoa, Chordata, Mammalia, Primates, Hominidae. The record is from RefSeq and is a predicted model, not a curated record.
GGAGAGCCAUUGGAGGUUUUUGAGCAAACAUCCAACUUAUAGCAGACUCAUUCUGGCUGCUGUGUUGAAAAUAAAAUGAGGCAGAGCUGGAGCCAAAGCAGGAAAAUCUGGGAGGAGGUCUGCUUGAGUUUCCUGGAGGUCCACUCCAGACCCUAUUUGCCUGGAUAUCACCAGCAGAGGCUGCAGAACAGCAAAGAUUGCUGCUUGCUCCUUCCUGUGGAAGCUUCAUCCCAGAGGGGCACCCACCUGAUGCCAGCCAGAGCUCUCCUGUAUGAGAAACUUCUCUAAAUGAUACUUACAGACCUGCAAUUCCUUAUCUGCAGUUAUGAAAUCCAUAAACAAAAAGCUUGAAAACCAACAGUUUUCCAACGGAUAUGAGAAAGUCAUCUCAUUUUGCCAGUUGGAACAAGCCUAGAAGUUUGGUGUUUUGUUUUGAAACUGAAAAUUGCUUUAAGAGGCACUUUGUGCACUUGGACGUGGUUGAGAAGAGACCCACAGAGAUGAUUAAAGGCUGAAAAACAGACUGAGAAAACUGGAAGAGAAAGCUAAAGGCAAUUUAGUAAUCAACGUCAAGCAUAUGAAAGGUUGUUAUUACCAAGGAGGGUGACAAGCCCAUGCUGUUCAUACCCUCUAAGGGGAGAGCAACAGGAAAUGAGGCAAGUUGCAGCAUAGAUGACUUCAGUUAGAUAAAGAGGAACUUACUUGGCAGAAAACAUUGCUACAAACUGAAGGGUCCACCAGGAAUGAUGCUUGGUCCCUCCUUCUCCAGAGGUAUGUAAACAGGAAAAGUUUCCAACUGCCUGGAAUGUUCCCUGUGCAAUAUUGCCUAAAGUAGGGAAUAGAAUUAACAGUUUUGAGGGACAGUCUCCAGAAAAGACAUAGAUUUUUGGCACCCAGGACACAGGUGACCUGACAAAGUCCUUCCAACUCCAAAAAUCUUGGAGAAAGUAUUUCAGAGGAACUGAAUUCAACAGUCACAUCUUUUCACUACACAUUUACUAAGCCUCUUUUCGAAGCCACCCCAGGUUAGAUACCAUCCCAAUUACUAAGGCAUAGUUUAUGCUAAUAGAGGAAAGAGCUGAUUACCACAUAUUCUUUAGAGGCCUAUCAGGCAUCAGCUCUCCGAAUUCUGUCUCACUCAUACAUGUGCACACAUAUACAACUACAAAGCAACCGCCAAAGCUACUUGCAUUUCCUCUGAGUGACACCGACCCCUAGCUGCUCUAACCUCCAAACCUUUGCAUGUGGUAUUUCCUCUACCUCUAAUUCCCUUCCCCCACUUCCUUACUUUGUAAAUCCCUUCUUGUCCCUAAAGAUACUGCUCAGGCAUUACCUCCUCCAAGCUGCCCUCUUGCCACAGCUACUAUUCCCUUCACCCCAACUCUGGAUUAUGAUACUCUUUCAUGAUCCCUGGCUGAAAGCAUUAGGAACUGAAUCAAAAUGAUCCAAAAGAGAACUUGUUGGAAGUAUAAUGUAUCAGCAGCUCAAUAGCAGAUAGAGGAACAAGCUUGCAAAUGCCCAAGAUUUAGGGGAGUUAAAACCAAGAACCAGAGGGUAUAAUUGUCUCAUAUUUGAAAGCAUCAGGACUGGAUGUUUCUACCUCACUUCAGUUCAGAAUGCCCUGAAUAUAUUCUCUCCAUCCUAGUAUCAACAUCUUAAAAGAGAGCCUCAUCGGCCAACCUUGGGUCUCAUGACUAGUCUGAACUAGCCUGUGACUGUGCUAGGGUGGGAGAGGAAGAUCACUCUUUUCAGUUUGUCUAGUGAGCAUUGGUCACUAGAAAUUAUCAUCCCACUUAAAUUCACACAAAGGAGGAGAGGUGAUUCCCCCCAAAAAGAAAUUGUAAUAAAAUAGGAGAGGCAAGGUAAGCUAAGCAGCUCUCUCUUACGUUCAUUACAUUGUGGUAUGAUCCUUGGUUUUCCUGUCUGUGUUCUUAGUAAGUUCAUGUGCACUCUGAAGGCAGCAAUUGUAUCUUUUAUUUGUGUCUCAUAGACUAUUGGGUACAGAAUCUGUGAUCAAUAACCUUUUACAGGUUCUUGGUCAAUAUUUGUUGAAUGAUACAUGAAGGCUAAGACCAUAUGCAUCCCUGUGUCUGCCAACUUCAAGCUCUGUGCUUUUUCUACCAUACCACAAGGUUAGCAGGGAUUAUGUGCUCAGCCUUAAUCCAGUUACCUGUUUCUUAACCUAAGGUAUUUGUUGUUAUUGGGUUUUUUUUUUAAUAAAUUAAGAUUGGUAUAGUAAGUCUUGGUUACAGCCAGCAAAAAAAACAAGUCUCAAAAUAUUCACAGAACUGAAUCCCAGGAUGUGCAAAUGCAGUUUUUAAGCAUCCAUUUACCUUUGAGUGAAACUAUGAUAUCCAUCAAACUUCUCAGACAAUACUAUCCACAAACGUCAAUUUUUACCUAGGUAAUGGUGACUAUAGGAAAAGAAAAGAAGAAAAAUAAUACCAGAAGUCUGCAAAUAAGCUCUAAAUGUAGCAAAUAACUAAACAUAAUAAAACAUAGUGCAUAUGUGUUUCCGUGGCCACUAUCACACAGGUAAGCAUGGCUGACUGGCUUGGUAAGUCCAUUUCAAUACUACCAGUGUUCACUGACAGUGUCUAUAGCCAUUCAAGCUUGUGAAUUUGCAUGGUUUGUUUAAUCCAAUUUCAAUUUUGUUCUGAAUCAUACUUGGCCUUGCACUGAGUAUUGCUUCAUUGAGAUGAAUAAAUGCACACCUUGUUC